RNAcentral lists this ribosomal RNA (253 nucleotides) under uncultured bacterium. RNAcentral's name for it is "partial 16S ribosomal RNA". It matches the Rfam family "Bacterial small subunit ribosomal RNA", at positions 524 to 776 of the family's 1533-position model. The record is from RNAcentral.
UACGUAGGGUGCAAGCGUUAAUCGGAAUUACUGGGCGUAAAGCGUGCGCAGGCGGUUUUGUAAGUCUGACGUGAAAUCCCCGGGCUUAACCUGGGAAUUGCGUUGGAGACUGCAAGGCUAGAAUCUGGCAGAGGGGGGUAGAAUUCCACGUGUAACAGUGAAAUGCGUAGAGAUGUGGAGGAACACCGAUGGCGAAGGCAGCCCCCUGGGUCAAGAUUGACGCUCAUGCACGAAAGCGUGGGGAGCAAACAGG